UGAAUGUCCUUUAUAAUCCUGAUCAACGAUUUAUAAUCCCGUUGUUACAGCUUCGCUUAAGGACAACAACAAAUUUUUUGUUUUAUUAUCCUAGCGCCUGAAUUAAAUAAAACAUUUUCAUGGUGCUCGAGAAACGUAGAACUACAUUU
Eupeodes corollae is the source of this 149-nucleotide small nucleolar RNA. RefSeq annotates it as small nucleolar RNA psi28S-1192. The transcript has a single exon. The record is from RefSeq and is a predicted model, not a curated record. NCBI's taxonomy places the organism in Eukaryota, Metazoa, Arthropoda, Insecta, Diptera, Syrphidae.